ACAUGAUCCCUUUAGGAGCUGUGAUAAUAUUAAUUCUCUGUUCAUCUUGCAGUUCAAAUAUUAUGCAGAAACCCAAUGAGGAUGUUUUAGCAGGAGAAGAUGUUAACCUCACCUGCGAACACCCCUUUCUUACUACUGGUGACUAUAUUCACUGGUACAAAAUGAUCCCUGGUCAGGGACUCAGAUUCCUAAUUAGUGGAUUCCAGCUAAUUGCAAACACUGAAUAUAAACUAGUAUUUGCUGAAGACAGAAAGUCCAGCGUUCUCCUUAUGCAGAACAUCAGACCUGAGCAGAGUGCAGUGUAUCUCUGUGCUUCAAGUGACACAGUGCUACAGACAAACUCACAGCCUGUAUAAUAUGUGAUCUAGUGAUAGCUGAGAGAAAUCUUACUCAUAACU
Pelobates fuscus (common spadefoot toad) is the source of this 398-nucleotide non-coding RNA. The record is from the annotation of a RefSeq genome assembly. Lineage: Eukaryota; Metazoa; Chordata; Amphibia; Anura; Pelobatidae.